CUGGGCUCCCUGUGCUGUGUGAGGGGCCCUCGCACGCCCUGGGUAAGCCCUGAGGAAGGGCAGCACCUUCCCAGUAGCAGCGCUGGCCAAAACACACACAACAAGAUUAUCUAAAGCUAGUCCUGGGGACAGCCCCCUCUGCACUGAGACAGGCGACAACUGCAGGAUGAAGCAUUUCCUUUAACAGUUGCAUCAGCCCCCUCUCUGAAGAAAACAUAAAGCUUCUGAAACCAAGCCACCUUGAAAUUUGGGAAGCGGCUUUUCUAGCUGAAGUUUGUCUUUGCUGCAGCAGAGCAACCUAAAGCACUUGACUAUUACUCACUCAGGGGGACUUUUUCCAGUUAGCAGUUGUUUCACUUUUGCUUUCUUCCUGACAGAAACUGAUCUCCCUUCUGAACGUCCAUUGUAAAAGAAACUGAGUAACAGACUGUGAAACUGCUUAGAAGAUAGAAAAUAUCUACAAAAAUACAGAAGAUAUCUACAAAAGGACUGUUCUAUCAUUGGAUGCAUUUCUUGUCUCAUUAAUUUACUGGGGGUCUGCCCAUUACAUUCUUUCCCUGGCCAACCCAUAAGAAAACACACAGAUGCUUAGAAAGGAAGUGUCUCUUCAUAGAAUCAUUUCUAAUUUUAAUAUGUUAGUUUCUAUUUGAUAAAGUAGAUGUUCCUAACAGCACGUAGAAAUGUUUAAAAAUAUUGUUAACUGUGCAGUACAUUUGAGCUUGCAUUUGAACAACCUUGCACAAAAAGAAGAAAUUAACAUUGUUUGGGAUAAUGCAAGUUUCCUAAUUCUAGUAACUUUUUCUAAAUUUAAACAUGAACAAUAUUUAAACACAACAGAAAUGAUCUCAUUUUCAUUUCUGUAUUAGCCAUGCUCAAUUAUUCAGUUCUAAUCCUGCAGUCUCAAACACACCCUUAAAUAACCUACUGGACUCCUCAGUGGGUUAAGGUGAGCACAUAUAUAAGUUUGAGUAUUUGCAGCAGAACAUUAGUCUUGACUUAAACUGUCAUCACAUCUAAUGUAGACAAGAAAUGCAAGUGUACUUUAUGACCACAUAUGUUGCCAUACAAAGACAUCCUCUGGAUAUGACUUUGGUCUAUAUACUGCAUUGAAAUACAGCAUAGAGAGGAAGCAGACCAGGAAUUCCAGUUUAGAAGGGCUUUUGGGUAACCUCCAUUUACGGAAUUUACAUAAAAUGUUGUAAAAAUUUAGAAUUUAUUUCAUUAAAAAUUUAUAAAAUAACAAAACUAAUGUAUUUUGAAAAAAAUCUCAAAAUUCUACAAAAACUGUGAAGGCUUUUUCCAUCUAUAAUUACCAUCUGAAUAUUCAACAUUUGGCAUGAAAUGCCUACUGAAAAUGAAUAUUUGAGUCAGUUUUUUUGGACUAUGUGGAUGCUGUAUGUCAACUUCUAAAGCAACACGAAACUCCUCAUUCAGAGUCCAAAAAAAUGGAGGAAGACCCUAAAAAUGUAGCAGAAGCAUUUCCGCACACUGAUUUCAGUAGUCAAGUUUGUGCAGAAGUGAUUCCACUAGAUUCAUAGGGCACCUUUUUGAGGCAACAGAAACUUCUCACUUCAUAAGCUUUUUGACAUUUUCCAGCUCUUCUAUAGGCUGCCAUUUCUGCUGGAUUGUUAAUAGCUGGAAGAAAUGGAAAAUAUGAAAGUUAGCAAAAUCCCAGUGGGCAUUUACUCCACUCCCACACCCCCCAAGUCAUACAUCAACCUAUUGGUGAAGAAUUUCUAGUAGCUUUACAUUUUUCUUUCAGAGGUAUGCAAGAAUAGCAACUGAUGACAUAUAUAAUAAUUUGUUGAACAAAAUAGUUUGGAUAUUACAUAGAUAAUAAUGCCAAAGAAUUUUAUUUUUCCUUAUAGUAGAUGCUCUACUAAAUAAAGAUAUUUUUCCUUCAGGCUGCAGUACCUAAAUAUUCUUAGUCAAUUUUGUAACUCAGGAACAAGGGGAAACAGCCUUCCUCUGUACUCCAAAUUUCCAGUGUUAUCAAUGGAUUUGAGUAAAUGGAUGUUGGCAGUGGGAACAGACACAGCACAGCAACUAGAAGAGCACCAUAAGUUCAAGAUCAGACCUAGAAUGUAAUAGCUGAUUCCCUAUCAUUAGGUAACACAGGGAAGAUAUAAAGUAAUGAACUAAAAUUUUGUUUCUACUAUUAAUUAGAUAUACAUCAGCUUUACUUGUGUUUCCUCAUGAAUAUUUUGCUAGUUCUUACACAUUAAAACAAGUUACUCACUGUGUUGGAAA
This is a long non-coding RNA of Pipra filicauda (Wire-tailed manakin), 2250 nucleotides long. RefSeq lists it as uncharacterized. The record is from RefSeq and is a predicted model, not a curated record. NCBI's taxonomy places the organism in Eukaryota, Metazoa, Chordata, Aves, Passeriformes, Pipridae. The transcript is spliced from 3 exons.